GUCCUGCUGCACCUGUGCGUGGCUUGCACCUGCACAUGGCGCCAGGGUCAGGCUGCAGGGCCAGAGCACGUGCUUGGCAUAACUGGGGCCUAAUGCUCCCCGUCUCACCCCCUUUAAACCCUUAGCCACAUGG
Molecule: small nucleolar RNA, 133 nt
Organism: Phyllostomus discolor (pale spear-nosed bat)
Lineage: Eukaryota; Metazoa; Chordata; Mammalia; Chiroptera; Phyllostomidae
Source: RefSeq, a predicted model, not a curated record